CACCACUUUAGGGUCACACACAUCAUGCUAAGAUGCAAUGUAAUAUACUUGGUUUUGUGUGUUGUGCAAAACUAACCAUUGUGGUUUAAAAAGAGGAUUCAUAGCUUAGCCUGAUGGGCUCAAACAGCCAAUUAUAGCUUAGUCAACAAAUUGUGGUCAACAAAACCAAGGCUUUGUGUAACAGUGACAGGUCAAUAGAUAUUAAAAAGCUGAACAAAUGAAUCUUGAUCUUCUUCUAUAGAGGUGUCCUCAGCUUGCCUUCUGGAGAAGUUUACUUCCCCCCUAGAACUGGUUAGUUAACUACUGAGUUGGUUCAAGCAAUCCUGUCAGCAUGAAAGAGCACAUUGCAGCCCUUGUUCUUUAUACAUUCUUAAAGUAUAUUUCUAAUAGUUCGGAUGUUCAGCACCUUCACAUUUUGCACAAAAAUGCCCUUAUCUUACCUUGUUCAUUUACCUAUUAUUCUUAUAGAUUACUGUAGUCCUAAUAAAUAUUGCAACAGUCUACUUCCAGUUAAAAUUAAAUACUUAUCCAUACAAUUUGCCAUGAUGCAGAGCAUGUCAAAACACCUUGAGACAAUAAGAGAAUAAAAACCAAAACCAUGUUCCUUGGAAAAUUUUGUAGUGAUGGAAAAUAGUUUUAAAGGGCACCCAGUUUUUUUAAAAGCCUAAGGAGGUUCUAUUCCCACCUCCAGGUUUUCUUAAUAAUAAUUACUCCUGCAAGCCAUUGACAAAUGGGAUAUUUCAUUGAAUGAAUGGCAUGCAUGACCACUUGGAAUGAAGCUCCUAGGAAUUCAGUACAGAGAAACUUCCAAUUGUGUGUAAAAUUGCAGCCUAAAUCCGGGCCUGGAUUCAGCUAUUUUGAGAUGAAAAUACAUCCUGUAGUUUUAAAAGUAUGUUUUAGAAGUGAAAUGAACCACUGAUGCAUUUAAUAUGGCCUCUCCAGAUCCACUUGAAACUUGGCUUCACAUUUUAAUUGCAUUGAAAAAAGCUAUCAGAGCAAUUAUUUGCUUUGCAUUGCUAGAGUGCCUGGAAAAUUGAGAAAGCUUUAAUAUAUUCUUCUAAAAUGCUUUCUGAGGCUGCAUUUUAUACAAACCAUUUGAAGAAUGUUUAUGUUUUUUGACACUUUUCUUCAGAAAACCUUAUUGGUUUCCUGCUUUGUUGCAUUGACCUAUCCAAAUCAUUCUAUGAUUCCAAUUUUUUUUUUCUCCAACUUUUGCAUCCUGUUAUCCGUAAGAGGACCACUCCUUUCUUAAUGUUGAAUUUAGCACCCUUUGCAAAUUGCUAUAGAAGUUCUCAAUUUCUUCCUUCACUGCUUCUGAACAAGCUCAGAUAUUAUUGGAGCUUGAGAUGGAAGACCAGCAUUAUUUAGGGCUUAAAGAUGACACAAAACCAAAAGUGUUGUAAUCUUUCACCUUUAUGGAAUGUUUUAAAUUCUUUUAAAAAAUGUUCCAUCAGUGUGAAAUCAGUAAAAACAUACAUAGUUUUCAUGUAGUGACCACAAUUGGCAUCAAAUCAGUGAUUAAGCAAAGUAGCCAUUUUUGCUAAUUGAAACCAUAACUUUGCCUAUGAUCUUACUUUCCUUUGCUUUACAGACUUGUGAAAGUCAUAAAUGUGAGGACUGAUCAUAAAGUUACCCUUUCAUCACUGUUGUUACCUGUGGUUUAAAUGUCACAGCUAAGAAAAGCGGUCCUGUAUUUCUACUCUCAGCAAUGAUAUUGGAGAAAUUUGCUUCAAGUUCAACAGAUUUGCUUAGACAGUUUGGGGCAUCAGGCCGAGUUACUCAGAUCUGGCUUGCAUGAUAUCUCAGUUGCAUGAUUAGAAAUCAAGCCAUUUUUACCACGAUGCUCCUGUAAUUGAAAUGAUUUCAAGUGGGUUUUAAUUCCAGCACUUCAGGAAAUAAAAUAAAUAAUAAAAACGCGAAGACAUGAGUCAAACCACCCUUGCAGGAUGAAACUCAGCUAAUGUGAGGGGAGGGAAAAAUUUUAAGCACAGACUUGAAUUUGGUCAACGUUGCAAAAAAGCUCUGUUUAGAACAGUGUUUCUCAACCUUAGCAUCUUUAAGAUUUGUGGACUUCAAGCCCCAUGGCUGGCUGGGGAAUUCUGGGAGCUGAAGUCCACAUAUCUUAAAGUUGCUAUAGUUGAGAAAAACUACUUUAGAAUCAUGACUUAGGAAAAUCAAUGGAAGUAGAGUUCUGAACCUAAUAUUAUCCUGCUCACAACAUGUGAGAUAAAUGUCUUCACUUAUAGAACCUGCUUCAAAGUUUGCACACGCUAAAAUUUGUCACAAUCAUGGAUGAUCCUGAAUUCACUCUGAGAUUCCUGCCUUUUAAUUGUGCCUACCAGGCCUUCUUAUUUUGUCUUGUAAUGGCUUGGUUUCAUACAGACUGGAUGUGAGGUGCGAAGGAUCAGGUCCACAUAUGAAGGUCCAAUUAAACUGAUUUUUUGCUAAUAAUGCCUAUGAACAGGAAUCUUGUCAACUAACAGGCUAGAUAAGGGUCAAUAGGAUUCAAGGGAAGUUGAACUUAGUUUGCUUGUGGCUACAUAAGGAUUCUAGGCUGAUCCCUCCUUUAACUCUGCCCCCAGGUUCUGCCAUUCCUCCUAUACUGGGAUAGUGCAUUUACUUAGGAGCACUUGAUAAAGUUUUGAGUAAGCUAAUACAACGUAAUAAACUAAACAUAAUGAGAUAAAAUGGCAGUUUUCCUGCCAUACUUACCCAGGCAUAAAAUUAGGCAGUGAACAUGCAAGCUCACAACCACUGGUUCAUUCUGUGAGCUGGGAUGGUUAAUGAGAUAAUACGAGAUUCAUUUAGCCUAGUUUAACAUAAUGCAACAAUGUUCCAGUGUAGUUCUGCCCUUCUGGAAGAGGCCUGAAAAUAAAGCCAAAAACAAACAAAACCCACAAUGUGGGUUUAUUUUAGGCAGAUGGAGUUUUCACACAUCACGAUGUUAACCAAAUAGAUAGCUUGUUGACUACAGAUUCACAUGGCAGGAGUCUGUGACUGAUUCACCACCAACACUAGGUAAGUGCAGUGGUUCAUUAAGAUUGGACUGAGAUAUACAAGUCCCGCCAAAUACUGUUGCAGUUGCUGCACUCUUUGUAAAAACUUCUCACAAAAUAGAUGCACUGCUGUAAGCACAAAAACCUAAACAGCUGCAUCCAUUAUCUUCAUUUCCCAGAGAAUAGGAAAUCCAUGAGAAUAAAAUAGAAAGAGUUCAGCUGCUUACCCACUAGUUAGUAAGAAGAGAUUGGAGAUUUAAGGGAAAAAUGAACACCCAGAAGUCCAGCAUUAUUGUAUGAAUAGGAGGAUCAAGCAGGUCAGUGCUAAGAAAAGCAAAUGGUGAUUAUCCUUCCAAGAAAGCAGCUUCCUCAGUACUCACCCCACCAUGGCUGCACCAUGGAACAAGGUUAAGCUGUGAAUAUAAUGAUCUUGCCUCUGUUGGCAAGCUGUCUCUUCUUUUCAUUCCCCAUGCUUCUUAAGGUAGUAUCAUCAGUAGAAAAUUUUAGUGGUUUUCAGUUCAGUUCCUUAUAGGUGUUAGAUGGUUUGAAUCAGUGUUGACUCCUGGUGAUUGCCUGAAUGAGUCCCUGCAAUUUUCUUGGCAAGAUUUCAGAAGCGAUUUGCCAUUGUCCCCUUCCUAGGGUUAGGAGAGAGUGGCUGGCCCAAGACAUCCAGCUGGCUUUGGGCCUAAGGCAGGAUUAGAAAUCAUGGCUUUUGGAUUUCUAGCCUGGUGGUCUUAACCACUGCACCAACCUGGCUCCGAUAUUCAUAAAUCUACCUGCUUAUUAAGAUUUACUUUUCAGGCUUGGCUGCAGUUCUCCUUGCUGAUGGAAGAGUAGUUUUGGUAGGGCAACCCCAGGGCUGCAUGCUGCUUUCUCAGAGGCACAUGAAAUUUGUCCUGGUCCAAGAGAGAAGUAGAGAAUCUUCUACCGAUCUGUGUUUGUGUUACAUAUUUUAGUUGUUGCCCUUUAAAUACCUUACCUUUUGAAUAUGUAUUGCUAAGUUUAUAAGCUAAUGUGAAGCAAUGUAUAAAUAUUUCAAAUAAAAAUGUUCAAAACCUG
Pantherophis guttatus is the source of this 4055-nucleotide long non-coding RNA. RefSeq lists it as uncharacterized. Lineage: Eukaryota; Metazoa; Chordata; Lepidosauria; Squamata; Colubridae. The record is from RefSeq and is a predicted model, not a curated record.